CUCUUGCAGGGUCUAGCAAGCUAUUAACAUAGCAGGGGAUAAGAAAAUCUUAAUUAAACAGAACUUGCAAUAAAGAAAGCCUAAAUAGGGCUCUCUUUACAGGAAGUGUUUAUGGAAGGCUGUGCAAGUCACGUGAAGGGAGGUGUGACUAGGGUUCAUAAACAAAGGGAUUUAGCUCCUAAAUGGCAGAGGAUUGAGCAGUGAG
This is a non-coding RNA of Pelobates cultripes (western spadefoot toad), 205 nucleotides long. Lineage: Eukaryota; Metazoa; Chordata; Amphibia; Anura; Pelobatidae. The record is from the annotation of a GenBank genome assembly.